This 334-nucleotide unclassified non-coding RNA is filed under the name soil metagenome. Its description in RNAcentral is "partial contains 5.8S ribosomal RNA, internal transcribed spacer 2, and large subunit ribosomal RNA". The stretch from base 2 to 120 matches the Rfam family "5.8S ribosomal RNA", at positions 36 to 154 of the family's 154-position model. The record is from RNAcentral.
AAUGAAGAACGUAGCGAAAUGCGAUACGUAAUGUGAAUUGCAGAAUUCAGUGAAUCAUCGAAUCUUUGAACGCACAUUGCGCCUGCCAGCACUCUGGCAGGCAUGCCUGUUCGAGCGUCAUUUCAACCAUCAAGCCCUAGGCUUGCGUUGGAGCCCUGCGGCUGCCGCAGGCCCCUAAAAGCAGUGGCGGGCUCGCUAUCACACCGAGUGCAGUAGAUUACUCUUCGCUCAGGGCGUGUGGCGGGUUCCAGCCGUGAAACCCCCUACUUCUCAAGGUUGACCUCGGAUCAGGUAGGAAUACCCGCUGAACUUAAGCAUAUCAAUAAGCGGAGGA